AUUGAUCGGUUAUUGAUUUAUUGAUUAUUCCAACGUUCAAAUAAUUAUUCACAUUUCUGAGAAAAAGAUCAAAUAUUUAGUUAAAUAUUCAAGUAAAUAUUUAUUUAAAGUGUUUCAGCAGCUGGAGAUAAAAAAUAAUCUGAUGGAUCUGGUGUGUGUUAAUGUGAGUUACUGUGGUAAUGUAUGUUAUUGUGGUAAUGUGUGUUAUUGUGGUAAUGUGUGUUAUUGUGUUAUUACAACCCGGUCUCACGGGGAUUCGUGAAACUGUCACGUAAGUUUUAGUUUCGGUUUCGUGCGCACCAACACGAUUUCGUCAUGUUUUUCGUGCCGCUCACCACGAAAUGUUUUUCGCUGUGGUAAUCACAUCUGAAAGUGGUUUAUACCGGCGGAUUCAUGACGAUCUAAGCUGUCCAUCGGCGUAUACUGCUUGUGUGAUCGCGUUUGCGGCCGCCGGCCGCCGGACAUUCUUGAAAUUCCUAUGCAAAUUGGUAAGUGUACCACCGGCUUAUGGUUAGGUUAUGGUUAGGGUUAUGGUUAGGGUUAUGUUUAGGGACGAUGUCAUGCAAAAUAUAGCGUUGGAUUCGCCACGGUUUUACAUUAAAAAUAUAAUAUACACAUUCUUUUGAAAUACGUUCUGAGUGGCACGAAAAGUCCGCCGUUUAAAAUACAUUGGUGCGCAUUUCGUGGUGAGCGGCACGAAAAACAUGACGAAAUCGUGUUGGUGCGCACGAAACCGAAACUAAAACUUACGUGACAGUUUCACGAAUCCCCGUGAGAUCGGGCUCGUUAUUAAUGUAGCCACAAGGGGACACAAGCCAGUGUCUUAUUGUGCCCGGAUAAAUACAGAGGGUUGUGGCAGGAAGGGCAUCUGACGUAAAACUUUGGCCAAAUCAAUCAUGCGAAUCAAAUGUAUGACUUCCAUACCGGAUCGGUCGAGGCCCGGGUUAACAACGACCGCCAUUGGUGCUGUCGACCUACAGGGUGCCGGUGGAAAAUGGACUACUGUUGGUCGAAGAAGGAGAGGAGGAAGGUGUGUUCGUAGGAAGAGAGAGAAGAGGAACACCAAGAGUCUAGGACUGAGAGUAGGGACUUUGAAUGUUGGAAAUAUGACAGGAAAAGGUAGAGAGCUGGUUGACAUGAUGCAGAGGAGGAAGGUGGACAUACUGUGUGUCCAGGAGAGCAGGUGGAAAGGUAGUAAAGCUAGAAGUUCAGGAGCAGGGUUCAAGUUGUUCUAUCAUGGUGUAGAUAGGAAGAGAAAUGGAGUAGGAGUUAUCUUGAAGGAGGAGUUUGUUAGGAAUGUCCUGGAGGUAAAAAGAGUGUCAGAUCAAAUGAUGAGCCUGAAGCUAGAAAUCAAAGGUGUGAUGUUCAAUGUUGUUAGUGGGUAUGCUCCACAGGUAGGAUGUGAGCUGGAGGGAAGGAGAAAUUCUGGUUGGACCUUGAUGAAGUGAUGCAGAGCAUCCCUAGAAGUGAGAGAGUUGUCAUUGGUGCAGACUUCAAUGGACAUGUUGGUGCAGGAAACAGAGAUGAUGAGGAGGUCAUGGGCAGGUUUGGUAUCCAGGAGAGGAACGCAGAAGGACAGAUGGUGGUUGACUUUGCAAAAAGGAUGGAAAUGGCUGUAGUGAAUACUUUCUUCCAGAAGAGGCAGGAACAUAGGGUGACCUAUAAGAGUGGAGGUAGGAGCACACAGGUAGACUACAUCUUGUGUAGACGGUGUAAUCUGAAGGAGAUCAGUGACUGCAAAGUAGUGGUAGGUGAGAGUGUAGCCAGACAGCAUAGGAUGGUGGUGUGUAGGAUGACCCUGGUGGUGAAGAAGAUGAAGAGGGCAAAGGCAGAGCAGAGGACCAAAUGGUGGAAGCUGAAAAAGGAAGAGUGUUGUAUGACUUUCAGGAAAGAGUUGAGACAGGCUUUGGAUGGUCAGGAGGUGCUUCCAGAUGACUGGACAACUACAGCAAAUGUGAUCAGGGAGACAGGUCGGAGAGUACUUGGUGUGUCAUCUGGAAGGAAAGGAGAUAAGGAGACUUGGUGGUGGAAUGAGGAGGUGCAGGAGUGGAUCCAGAGAAAGAGGUUAGCUAAGAAGAAGUGGGACACUGAGAGGACUGAAGAGAGUAGACAGGAGUACAGGGAGAUGCAGCGUAAGGUGAAAGUAGAGGUGGCAAAGGCCAAACAAGGGGCUUACCAUGACUUGUAUUCUGGGUUGGACAGUAAGGAGGGAGAGACUGAUCUGUACAGGUUGGCAAGGCAGAGAGACAGAGAUGGGAAGGACAUGCAGCAGGUUAGGGUGAUAAAGGAUAAGGAUGGAAGUGUGUUGACAGGUGCCAAUAGUGUGAUGGGAAGAUGGAAAGAGUACUUUGAAGAGUUGAUGGAUGAGGAAAAUGAGAGAGAAUGAAGAGUAGAAGAGGUGACUGUUGUGGACCAGGAAGUAGCAAAGAUUAGUGAGGAUGAAGUGAAGAGGGCAUUGAAGAGGAUGAAGAGUGGAAAGGCACUUGGUCCUGAUGAUAUACCUGUGGAGGUAUGGAAGUGUCUCGGAGAGGUAGCAGUAGAGUUUCUGACUGGGUUGUUCAACAGGAUCUUAGAUAGUGAGAAGAUGCCCGAGGAAUGGAGGAGAAGUGUGCUGGUGCCCAUCUUUAAGAACAAGGGAGAUGUGAAGAGUUGUGGCAACUACAGAGGAAUAAAGCUGAUGAGCCACACGAUGAAGCUAUGGGAAAGAGUAGUUGA
This is an RNA transcript of Acanthochromis polyacanthus (spiny chromis), 2715 nucleotides long. RefSeq lists it as uncharacterized. The record is from RefSeq and is a predicted model, not a curated record. The transcript is spliced from 2 exons. Lineage: Eukaryota; Metazoa; Chordata; Actinopteri; Pomacentridae.